AGAUUGAACGCUGGCGGCAUGCCUAACACAUGCAAGUCGAACGGGAGUAGCAAUACUCUAGUGGCGGACGGGUGAGGAAUACGUAGGAAUUUGCCCUUAAGUGGGGGAUAACCCGGGGAAACCCGGAUUAAUACCGCAUGACCUCGAAAGAGCAAAGUGGGGGAUCGCAAGACCUCACGCUUUUGGAGAAGCCUACGUCGGAUUAGCUAGUUGGUGAGGUAAUGGCUCACCAAGGCGACGAUCCGUAACUGGUCUGAGAGGAUGAUCAGUCACACCGGAACUGAGACACGGUCCGGACUCCUACGGGAGGCAGCAGUGGGGAAUAUUGGACAAUGGGCUCAAGCCUGAUCCAGCAAUGCCGCGUGUGUGAAGAAGGCCUUCGGGUUGUAAAGCACUUUAAGUUGGGUAAGAAAAACUACGACUACUAACACAGUGAGUCUUGACGGUACCGACAGAAUAAGCACCGCUAACUCUGUCGCCACGACGACCGACCGUACGUACUCGUAGGACGGCCGGUCGUCGAA
RNAcentral lists this ribosomal RNA (524 nucleotides) under uncultured soil bacterium. RNAcentral's name for it is "bacterial SSU rRNA". It matches the Rfam family "Bacterial small subunit ribosomal RNA", at positions 26 to 549 of the family's 1533-position model. The record is from RNAcentral.